RNAcentral lists this long non-coding RNA (334 nucleotides) under Rattus norvegicus (Norway rat). RNAcentral describes it as "long non-coding RNA NONRATT017789". Lineage: Eukaryota; Metazoa; Chordata; Mammalia; Rodentia; Muridae. The record is from RNAcentral.
GGACAGUGGACAUGGACAGAAAGUCGGGGGCUACUGCUAAAAUCUAACAAGUUGGGGAAAAUGCCAAGUCUACGGGAAACAGCUGAGUCCAACUGCUCUCCCACCAACCACCUGCCACUCUGAAGCACAAGGACAAACCCAGCACCUUGCUGUUGACUGAUCCCAGGCAGAUUUGGCUAUUGGUCUGGAUAGUCUUGCUGCUGUCCUGCCACCAGCGCUAGGAGAAGAUGACCAGAACCUGCUUCCUACAAACAUGCCCUGACAAGGAGCCUGUGCCUCCUACCCUACCUACAGUUUGUCCUUUAAGACAAAAUAAAUAGCUACUUACAAUGAA